UACGAAGGGGGCUAGCGUUGCUCGGAAUCACUGGGCGUAAAGCGCACGUAGGCGGAUCGUUAAGUCGGGGGUGAAAUCCUGGAGCUCAACUCCAGAACUGCCUUCGAUACUGGAAAGCUCGAGUCCGGGAGAGGUGAGUGGAACUGCGAGUGUAGAGGUGAAAUUCGUAGAUAUUCGCAAGAACACCAGUGGCGAAGGCGGCUCACUGGCCCGGUACUGACGCUGAGGUGCGAAAGCGUGGGGAGCAAACAGGG
This 254-nucleotide ribosomal RNA is filed under the name uncultured bacterium. RNAcentral's name for it is "partial 16S ribosomal RNA". It matches the Rfam family "Bacterial small subunit ribosomal RNA", at positions 524 to 777 of the family's 1533-position model. The record is from RNAcentral.